UUUGUAUUACGUGCGGAAACUGUUACCAUUUUUGAGCCGAAAAUAGUAACAAUUUCCGCACGUAAUACAAA
Molecule: microRNA precursor, 71 nt
Filed under: Paramuricea clavata
Lineage: Eukaryota; Metazoa; Cnidaria; Anthozoa; Malacalcyonacea; Plexauridae
Source: RNAcentral